This 116-nucleotide ribosomal RNA is filed under the name Bacillus subtilis. Lineage: Bacteria; Bacillati; Bacillota; Bacilli; Caryophanales; Bacillaceae. The record is from RNAcentral.
UAUGGUGGCGAUAGCGAAGAGGUCACACCCGUUCCCAUACCGAACACGGAAGUUAAGCUCUUCAGCGCCGAUGGUAGUCGGGGGUUUCCCCCUGUGAGAGUAGGACGCCGCCAAGC